AUUGAACGCUGGCGGCAGGCCUAACACAUGCAAGUCGAGCGGAUGAAGGGAGCUUGCUCCUGGAUUCAGCGGCGGACGGGUGAGUAAUGCCUAGGAAUCUGCCUGGUGGUGUGUGAUAACGUCCGGAAACGGGCGCUAAUACCUCAUACUGCGUGAGGGAGAAAGUGGGGGAUCUUCGGACCUGACGCUAUCAGGUUAUCCUAGGUUGAAUUGUCUAGUUGGUGGGGUAAAGGAGUACCAAGGCGACGAUACGUAACUGGGCUGAGAGGAUGAUCAGUCACACCGGAACUGAGACACGGUACAGACUAGUCUGGGAGGGAGCGGUGGGGAAUAUUGGACAAUGGGAGGAGCCCUGACCUAACCCUGCCGAGUGUCUGAAGAAGGUCUUCGGAUUGUAAAGGUAAUCAACUUGGGAGGAAGGGCAGUAAGUUAAUCCCUUGCUGCUUUGAAGUUACCAAAAGAAUAAGCACCGGCUAACUCCGUG
This 484-nucleotide ribosomal RNA is filed under the name uncultured bacterium. RNAcentral's name for it is "partial 16S ribosomal RNA". It matches the Rfam family "Bacterial small subunit ribosomal RNA", at positions 30 to 507 of the family's 1533-position model. The record is from RNAcentral.